RNAcentral lists this small RNA (148 nucleotides) under Macaca fascicularis (crab-eating macaque). RNAcentral's name for it is "Metazoan signal recognition particle RNA (ENSMFAG00000062452.1)". Lineage: Eukaryota; Metazoa; Chordata; Mammalia; Primates; Cercopithecidae. The record is from Rfam by way of RNAcentral.
GCCGGGCAAGGUGGCGUGUGCCUGUAAUCCCAGCUACUCAGGAGGCUGAGGCAGGAGAAUCGCUUGAACCCGGGAGGCGGAGGUUGCAGUGAGCCGAGAUUGCACCACUGCACUCCAGCCUGGGUGACAGAGCGAGACUCCGUCUCAA